GAUGAAGAACGUAGCGAAAUGCGAUACUUGGUGUGAAUUGCAGAAUCCCGUGAACCAUUGAGUUUUUGAACGCAAGUUGCGCCUCAAGCCAUUAGGUUGAGGGCACGUCUGCCUGGGCGUCACAUAUCGUUGCCUGAUGCCAGUUUCCUCGUGAUGGGUGACUGUGCAGGGCGAAUGAUGGCUUCCCGUGAGCAUUGUUGCCUCAUGGUUGGUUGAAAAUUGAGUCCUUGGUAGGGAGCGCCGUGAUAGAUGGUGGUUGAGUGACGAACGAGACCCAAUCAUGUGAGACCCCUACCGAAUUUGGCCUUCAUGACCCACAUGCGUCUUUGGAACGCUCAUGACGAGACCUCAGGUCAGGCGGGGCUACCCGCUGAGUUUAAGCAUAUCAAUAAGCGGAGGA
This 400-nucleotide unclassified non-coding RNA is filed under the name soil metagenome. RNAcentral describes it as "partial contains 5.8S ribosomal RNA, internal transcribed spacer 2, and large subunit ribosomal RNA". The stretch from base 1 to 122 matches the Rfam family "5.8S ribosomal RNA", at positions 35 to 154 of the family's 154-position model. The record is from RNAcentral.